GAUGAACGCUGGCGGCGUGCUUAACGCAUGCAAGUCGAACGGUGAAGCAGGAGCUUGCUCUUGUGGAUCAGUGGCGAACGGGUGAGUAACACGUGAGCAACCUGCCCCUGACUCUGGGAUAAGCGCUGGAAACGGCGUCUAAUACUGGAUAUGUGAUGUGACCGCAUGGUCUGCAUCUGGAAAGAAUUUCGGUUGGGGAUGGGCUCGCGGCCUAUCAGCUUGUUGGUGAGGUAAUGGCUCACCAAGGCGUCGACGGGUAGCCGGCCUGAGAGGGUGACCGGCCACACUGGGACUGAGACACGGUCCAUACUCCUACGGGAGGCUGCAGUCGAGAAUCUUCCGCAAUGGACGAAAGUCUGACGGAGCGACGCCGCGUGGUGGAUGAAGUCCCUCGGGACGUAAACACCUUUUAUGAGGGAAGAAAUUUUGACAUUACCUCAUGAAUAAGGGGCUCCUAACUCUGUGCCAGCCGCCGCCGUAA
This 481-nucleotide ribosomal RNA is filed under the name uncultured bacterium. RNAcentral describes it as "partial 16S ribosomal RNA". It matches the Rfam family "Bacterial small subunit ribosomal RNA", at positions 28 to 523 of the family's 1533-position model. The record is from RNAcentral.